UGCCUCUCAUUUUUGACUUCUUCAAAACCCCAUGUGAUAAAGCAUUCGACUUCAAGACGGAGAAGAUCUAAAGAAUUUCUCCCCCUAAGUUUUGUUUCAGACCCUGCCACUCCAUCGAAUUCUUUCGUUGGAACUGAAGAGUACAUAGCACCAGAGGUCAUCACGGGUGCACCACACACAAG
Molecule: long non-coding RNA, 182 nt
Organism: Panicum virgatum (switchgrass)
Lineage: Eukaryota; Viridiplantae; Streptophyta; Magnoliopsida; Poales; Poaceae
Exons: 3
Source: RefSeq, a predicted model, not a curated record